AGACUAGAAUGAAUGGAUUAAUGAAGCAUUACUUUCUUAAUUUAAAAAUUAAAAAUAAUUUUUUUAGUGAAGAGACUAAAAUGAAAAUGAGGGACGAGAAGACCCUAUUAAGCUUAAUAAAAUUAUUUUGUUGGGGAAACAAAAGAAUAAAAUUUCUUUAAAAAAAUUUUUUGAUAAAAUUUGAUUUUUUUUUAAAAAGUAAUAGAUCAAGUUACUAUAGGGAUAACAGCAUAAUUUUUUUAAAAAGUUCUUAUUAACAAAAAAGAUUAUGACCUCGAUGUUGGAUUAAAAUAAUUAUAUAAUGAAGUUGUUGUAUAAAUUAGUCUGUUCGACUAUUAAAUUUUUAC
Molecule: ribosomal RNA, 347 nt
Filed under: Epiperipatus sp. ony093
Lineage: Eukaryota; Metazoa; Onychophora; Udeonychophora; Euonychophora; Peripatidae
Description: partial large subunit ribosomal RNA
Source: RNAcentral